GGGACAAUAAAAAACAAAAGUUUAGACUCUAUGAACACGAGUCUCGUCUCGACGACUCCUUUGUCUCCUAUCAAUCCACUUAGGCAAGGUUGCCUCCAUUCCCUGCAACAUGGUAUUUGUAACAACCUGUAAAUUUAUAGAUUAUUAUUGCAGAUUUUUCCCUCUAGUUUAUUAUUUAAAACAUUUAGUUGGAUGCCAUUAUACAUAGUUUAAGAUUUAAAAACAUAAUUUUUAUAAAACAUAAAGUGUGGAAACAAUAAAUCCUCAGAAAAACCAUGUGCAAUACGCCUGCCGUACGACACUGCUCGUCAAUGUGCAAGUAAAUAAAAAAGGAUAUAAGUUUUCCAUUCAAAACUCAGCAUGGAUGCCUCUAACCUAACGAAUUAAAUAUCUCAUUAUUUUUUUAAACCCGUGUCUCUCUUUUAGUAUUCAGGUGAACAUAUCCAUCCGGACACUUAGGGUUCCAAACCCUCUCUUGGGAAUGACUUUCACCAUUCCCCAGACUCAAUCAUGUGCGGAACACAAUCUCAACCAGACUUGAAUCAACUCGGUGAGUGAUCCGACCAAAAUGCCCCGUUGGGCUAUUCGCCUCGUCAGGCUCAGACUCGAGUUCCCCCAAGGGUUCGCCCAUUCCAACUACCCGAAGGGUAUUCAUAAUUAUGCAUAUUAAACUGAGAUCCCCUAUAUGGGUUCACCUGACCAGACUCCCCCGUCGGGGCACAAUCAUUCAAACUUUUUGAAGGGUACAAUAACACAAACUCCCCGAAUGUGACAAUAACUCAAACUCCCCAAAGGGCAGAAUAACUCAGACUCUUCGAAUGACACAAUAACUUAUCAACUCCCCAAUGGGCACAAUAGCAUAGACUUCAACGGGUAUAUAUAUUCCAACAUAUCUAUUCAGUUCGAUUCUUUACUUUUUGUCAAACAUUUUGGAUUAUGAAUACCUGAUGAUAUCACUUAAACUACGCCAAUGUUAGGAUUUAGAAAAACUGAGUCAGACGUGGUAUAUUCACUUGAGCUCUCCUAACUCGUGUGCACUUGGAUUCGACCCAAUAGAGGUUGAGUCUGAAUCCCAAACGUGCACCAAGGAAGGUCGACCAUUGCGUACUCUUGGUUUGAUUCAAUCCCACUUACUUGCCAAGAUGAAUGGAAAAAUCUUGAGAGGACAAUAAAUUAAAGUGAACCCAAUGUCUCCCACUGACUCUUUAUUUCAAUUUAGGUCCUAAUCAGGUCCAACCACUUCACCAAGGUCUAAGCUAGACCCUAAUAUGAGCAGAAGGUCUCCCUGAGGACUCUUGAGCUCAACAUAGGUCUCCUCUCCUGACCAUACUUGCGUACACCCAAGGAAGUCUCUACCUCUAGGCUCCAGUUCCCAUUCACCCUUACUAGGUGCAUUUGAGUUCGAAGUAGACUAUAAGGUGAACUAAAGGUCUCCCCGAGGACUCUUUAAUUUAUCUUAGGUGUCACCCCGAACCCAUGAUUGGUCCAACAAGGUUUAUCUAAACCUUUGGUCCUUAGGUCAAACCGUCACCAAGUCAAUUUGGUGAAAUUUCUCUUAAUUACGUCUAUUACAUUUUCACCCUUGCCCCUUUUUAAUUAAAUAUGCAAGUAUUACCUUAGUGAUCCAACCCUAUGCAAAAUACACUUUGGUUUAAAACUAAACAAUUUAUUAAUUAAUUUUAAAUAUAUAAAACUUAAAGGACAUAUAUAAAAUACCCCUUUAUUUACCUAUACAUGAUUUACAUACUUUAAUUAAAUAAAACCCUGUGAACACAUGUAAAAUACCCAUUUAAUUAGCCCAACUCGAUUUCAAUAUUUUAACAAGAAAAAUCUUAAAUCUUACGAAAUAUAUAAAAUAGAUUUCGUUGAACUAACAUAUAUAUAAAAAAACAAAAUCGAAUUCAAAUGGAUAAAUCUUUAUAAAUAGAUGAAACUUGAUAAAACUUUAAUCGAUUUCAUCUUAAACAUAUAUAAAUAUCCCAACAAUACUAUCAAAAAAUAUAUCUACAUUCAAAAAUCAUCUUCAAACCUCAAAGUUAAAUUCAUUUCCAUCAUUCACAACACCUAAAUUAUUUAUUCGCAAAUAUGUUAUUCGUUUUGAUCUUAUUUAACGAGUAAGAAUAUACUUAUCCAAAUUGAUUUUAUUAUAGACGUAUUCAUAUUUUGUUUUUAAUCAAUACCCAUUCACAUUUUCAAACUUACGUGAAACUCAUAUAUAAACCCUAGUAUGAAAUAGCAUUUUACUUCUAGAUUUGAGGAUCGUAAUUCAAAGGUGAGAAGAAAUCUGUACCUUAUUUUUUGAUUUCUCCUUUCUUCUAGAUCCUCAAGAGCCUAGUUUAACCUUCAACAUGCACCGAAGUUGAUUUAUUCUCCCUCCUCCUUUAAUAUUGUUUCCUAAGGAUGUCCCAUCCGUCAGUGAUUUUACCUUUUUGUCCUUAGAUUUUAAAAGUCACCUAAGGUAAAUGAGGAAUUAUUUCCUUUAAUUGUAACUUCCUUUUUUUGAAUUCAUUCCUAGUUUAAUUAUCUUUUAAUUUGCAACUCAAUUGCAAGUUUUAAUUAAAAUUAUUUCAAAAACUUCCUUUUUACUUAAGUAGGGCUAACUAAUCAAGAUAUAUAUUUGCCUCCACCUCUUUUCAUUCCAAACCCUAGUCGACUAGUGUGGUAGGCUCUUAUCAACUAGCCCAUUAGUUGGGUUUAGUCCACCUAAUUUAAUCAAACUGCCAAGUUAAAUAUAAUUGAUCCAACUUUAUAGUUAUAAAUGAUUCAAUAAAAAAUAUAAUAAUAAGCAUGUAAUUAUUUUGAGAUCAAGUAAUUGACUAGAUAAAAGUCAUUGGAGAGAUUUUGAGAUCGAAUAUUCUUAUUAAACUUUUUAUUUAGAUAAUUAUUUUUACCUUCUAAUACUUAGUUAAAUAAUUAUUUUUACUCCCUUAGUUAAUUAACCUCUUUCUUUAGAUAAAUUAUAUAAAAUUCCUAAAUGAUUAAUCAUAUUAAACCCUUUAGGUUAAUGUGAUUAAAUUUACCCUAACUAUAUAUCAUCUGAGUGGAUAUGUUAUUUGCAUUUAUAUCCAUCCGUGUGUGAUUACAUCACUUAGUAUGUAAAGUAUAUAUACUAACAUUUAAUAAAUUUUAUGCUACUUCCCUUUUCCUAAUAGAAAAUCAGUCAUCAUGAUUCAUAUAAACAAGUAAACUCCAUUUUUAGUACAUAAAGCCAUCAUCAUUCAUAAAACCCAUACGUAUUAAUCAAAAACAAACCAUUUAAUUCAAUCAUUUAUAGUCAUCAUGGGUAUCAUGCAAUCAAUUACUAACUUCAAUAACUCUGAAGACAGUAAAGCUUCAAUAAAUUAGUCGAACAUCCCUACUGACCAUAUUAUACUUAUCAUUAGCUUCUACAAGGUUGUAUCAUACAUAGAAAUAUUCAUGAAUUAUUAUUAUACUUAUUAAGAGUAAUUACUUGAUCAAUUUAAGCUAAGCCAUGUACUUAGCAUUUAGAAAUUAGAAUUAGAUAACAAGGCCCAAUCUUGAUGUUGGCCCAUUUAAGUUAGGGUUAAGUUUAGUUAGUAUAAAUAGAUUGUUGUAAUAGUUUAUUAUUAUCCUUUUUUGAAAUACAACACUAAAACCCUUGGGUUUCUCUCCCGACCGUCUCUCCCUCUCGACUCGCGACUCUCCAUCCAAAACCCUAGUGAUCAUCCGACUCACACUCCGACUCCACGAUCGCCGACUUUGUGAUGGUAUCAGAGCCUCUCGGAGUGCUGCGCUGCUCUAACCGUCAACACUGUCUCUAGUGAAGUUCAAAGGGAAACUCGCGAUUCAAAGAAGGAGAACCGACUCUAUCCGGCAUCCGUCUACACCUUUCUAAACAAAGGCUGGUAUAUCUAAGACCUUGCUUGUGAUAGAAUAAAAUCAUAUGUGUUAUGUAUAUUAUGCAUGCUGAAACCCUUAAAUCUAAGAAACCAUCUGUUGCAUGUCUAUGUAUGACACUCUAUCUAUCAUUGUUAGUCUCAACACCAUAUCAAAAUGCUAUAACUACUGAUCUAUACAUAUCAUGUGCUUUGUCUGUUAUUCCCAUGUUGCUGUUGGUUACAUGCCUCAUUAGAUCUAUGUGCAUAUCACCUCUCUAUUUAAAAUCAUCUACUGAUGGUAAAACUAACGAUGUUUAUGAUUCUUUCAUGAAUGUAUCCAUGUAUAGGUAUGGUCUGAGAUCUAUCUCAGACCACACCAUAUUAAACAAGUUGGACAUUCUGUGUCCAUGGCUGCGAAUGGAUAGAUCACCCUGUUUAACUGUAAUCUACCCACACAAUGAACAGAGUAAGACUUUUCUCAUAAUUUAUUCAUGUUCUAUUAGCUAUCUUAAAACAUUAAUUAAGAUAAAUGUUUUUAUCAUGUUCCUUCCGCUGCUAACCAACUAUUCAAAUAAGAUUAGACACUGUCUACAACCGAAACCAAUCAAAGAUGGGUUGAGAACCAUCAUCAAAGUCAUGUACUCUGGCUUCUUCAAAUCAAUCUAUUUAUUAAGUCAAAAUUUUAAUAUACAUUUUUUAAUUCAUUCAUCUCAUUUAAAAUGUAUUUACACUAUACUGAUACAAUUUUAUUACUAUGAAACAUAUUACAGAGUAAUCAUCAUGUCUGAUAGUGAGAAUACUCAAACUGUCCAGAUUGUGAAAAAGAAACCACUGGGUGGUCCACUGUUCGAUCCUACAUCCAUAUACUUCUUUAAGCCUACUGACUAUGGCCCUCCAUCUAUCAUAAAUGUCCUACAGGGUAGCCAAAACUACUAUCCAUGGAAUACGGAAAUGACAACUAUACUCAUAACUAGAAGGAAAUUGGGUUUUGUUAAUGGAUCCAUCAAGGAACCAUCCCAAAAUGAUGAAGAGGAGCAUGAAGCUUGGAUUACCUGUCAUGGGAUAAUCCGUCAGUGGAUAUGGAGCUCUGUCUCUCAGGAGAUAGCCUCCCAAAUAAUGUACACGGAUGAUGCUGCAAUCAUUUGGGCUGAUCACAGAGAUCAGUUCAAACAAUCAAAUGAAACACAUUUGUUCCAACUGACCCAAGACAUUGCCCUACUCCAACAAGGAUCAAACACUGUAUCUAAAUUUAGUGCCAUGCUUAAGACACUGUGGAGGGAAGUAGAUGCUUAUGGAGAGGUCCCUAGAUGUAGUUGUGUUACUUGCACAUGUAAUGUCAAUGGAAGGAUAAAUGAAAGGGAAGAAAGGUUGAAAAUCAGAAAAUUCUUAAUGGGUCUGAAUGAUAACUUCAGACAGAUUAGAUCCACCAUCCUCUCAAUGGACAAACUCCCAAACUUUGGGAAGGUAUUUUCAAUGGUCAUACAUGAAGAAGACCAACAAAAAUUAACCAGCAAUUCAAACCCAAAUCAGGACUCUGCAUUCUACUCUGCAAAAGGGAAGGCACCCUUCCAAACAACAGUUAGACCUACAGAUACCCCAUCCUCAUCCAAUCCAAAUCUAAGGAAAAGGCCCCCUACUCCUACUGAGCCAAUAUACUACAAAAGUGGUAAACAAGUCAACACAAGAUAUUACUGCUUCCACUGUGCUGUGUUUGGGCACAGUGAUGAAAAGUGUUUCAAUCAACAUGGAUAUCCUUCUAGAAACACUAGGGCCAAUCCUAUAACUCCAACACCAUCUGUGGUCAACAAAGCACAAGGCUCAGCUAAUUGUGUGAACACUGAGCAGACCUGGACCCCAUGGGACAAUGAUGACAAAAAGACUGAAUCCUCUGAGAAUCCCAUUGGACCAUAUGGCUUUCCACUCUAUUCUGAGAAAUAUAAUCCAAGGCCACUGCCCAAGUACAAGGAUCCAGGUAAAGCAAAUUCUAUUUUUAAUAAACACUCAAAUAUUUAUUGGAUCAUUGACUCGGGUGCCUCUGAGCACCUGAGUGGAAAUGAAUCAUUAUUCCAAAAACUCACAAAGUGUGAUCCCUUCAAGAUCUCACUACCUAAUGGGGACAGUCAAACAGUCUCCUUAAAGGGUGACAUCUCUGUCUCAUCCAACAUCACACUAAAGGAUGUAUAUUUUAAUCCAUCCUUUCAAGUGAACUUGCUAUCCAUUAGCAAGUUAACUCAAUAUGACACCUACUCAGUUCAAUUUUCUAAAUCAUGUGCAUUCAUAUAUGACAAGGUUCAGAUGAAGGAAGUUGGUCAGAGUAGGAUGGAAAAGGGGUUGUAUCUGUUACCACAUACCAAUGAAGAUGAUUCUUUUGCAGGUGCCAUCACAACAUCGACAUGGCACAGAAGGCUUGGUCACACCUCAAGUGACAGACUGAAACACAUUUUAAACAAUUUAUCAUUUAAUUUUUCAAAUUCUACUUUUACUUUUGAUAAACAUUGUGAUAUUUGCCAUUUUGCCAAACAGCCUAGGAAGUCAUUUCCACUUCAUACAUCUAGAACUAAACAUGCAUUUGACUUACUUCACAUUGAUGUGUGGGGGAACUUUCACACUCCAACAAUCCAUGGGAAUUAAAGGUAUUUUUUAACUGUGGUUGAUGAUUACACUAGGUACACAUGGACUUAUCUUAUAUCUAUGAAGUCUGAAUGUUUUGAUAUUUUUAAGAAUUUAUAUGCUAUCAUUGAUAAUCAAUUUGACACCUCUGUCAAAUCAAUUAGAACUGACAAUGGUGGAGACUUUUUCUCUUCAGCCAUGGAUGAUUUCCUAAAGACAAAGGGAAUCAUUCACUCCAGCUGCCCCCACACACCACAACAGAAUGGUGUGGUUGAAAGGAAACAUCAACACUUAUUAAAUGUAGCUAGGGAAUUGAAAUUUCAAUGCUCCCUCCCAACUGAGUUAUGGGGAUAUGCAAUUCUCCAAGCCACUUAUAUCAUCAACUUGUUACCAUCCAAGGUAACACAAAACCUGUCCCCAUAUGAACUCAUGCAUUCCAAACAACCCAACUAUGAAGGACUCAGAACCUUUGGUUGUUUGUGUUAUGCAACAUGUCUUGUAAAAGAAGAUAAAUUCUCCCCUAGAGCUAAGAAAUGCAUAUAUCUAGGUCAUCCCCCAACUCAAAAGGGAUCCAUCAUUUAUGAACUAGAUAGCCAACACAUCUCUAUAAGUAGAGAUGUUAUAUUUUAUGAGAAUGAAUUCCCACUAAACAAAAACAACUCAAAAGAAACCAAAAGUCAUACAACAACUGAGAGAUUCAAUGACAUACUACUAAAUGACUCUGAUCUUUCAGAAAUAUACCAAAUAUCUCAAACUGACUCACACUCUCAAAUUCCAACAGAUUCAAACUCUGAGCCAUCAGAGUCAAUUCAAACAAAUCCAAACUCUGAAAUUCAAAACCAAAUAACAUCAAACUCUGAGUCAUCAGAGACAAUCCAAGAACAACACAUAAAUAUUGACACUAUUCCAAACAUCCAACAAAACUCAAGGUACCCAAAAAGACAAACAAAACCUCCCAUAAAGCUAAAUGACUAUUUCUGUUCAUUUGCAACAAGCUGUGGAAAAUCAAAAGGCAUCUCAUACCCAAUGCAUGAUUAUCUAACAUACAAGAGGUUGUCCACUGCUCACACUGAUUAUCUAGACAAAAUUUCCACAACUUCAGAACCAACAUCUUUCAAACAGGCUAGCCAAAGCCCUGAAUGGGUAAAGGCUAUGAAUGAUGAACUUGCAGCUCUAGAGCUCAAUGAUACAUGGGAAAUAGUGACAAAACCAAAAGGAUGGAAAAUUGUUGGGUCUAGAUGGGUUUUCAAAGUAAAACACAAAUCCAAUGGUGACUUUGAGAGACUAAAAGCAAGAUUAGUUGCAAAAGGUCAUACUCAUGUGGAAGGUUUUGACUACAAAGAAACCUUCUCCCCUGUUGCAAAGAUCAUAUCUGUCAGGACCCUAUUAGCAGUUGCAUCAAUCAAAAACUGGACCAAAUACCAAAUGGAUGUGAGCAAUGCUUUCUUACAUGGUGACCUAUCUGAGGAAAUAUACAUGUCUCCACCUCCAGGAAUGUUGCCACCUGAUGAUACCAGAGUCUGCAGACUAAAAAAUCCUUAUAUGGUCUGAAGCAAGCAAACAGAAAUUGGUAUGAGAAACUAACUUCUGCCUUAACCAAAUUUGGAUAUACACAAUCCCACUCUGAUUACACAUUAUUCUUUAAAUCAUCUACAAAUCCAUACACUUGCCAACUUAUUUAUGUAGAUAAUCUAAUCAUAUCAGGUGACAAUGAAGCUGAGAUCCAAAAGUUGAAAGAAUAUCUACAUCUUCAAUUCCAUAUAAAAGAUUUGGGCAAACUCAAAUACUUUCUAGGAAUUGAGGUAUCUCAAUCAAACCAGGGUAUUUUCCUAUCACAAAGGAAAUAUGCCCUUGAUAUUCUGCAUGACUUUGGGCAAUUGGGAUCUUCCCCAUCUAAAAUCUCAAUCUUGAUGUUGACCCAUUUAAGUUAGGGUUAAGUUUAGUUAGUAUAAAUAGAUUGUUGUAAUAGUUUAUUAUUAUCUUUUUUUGAAAUACAACACUAAAACCCUUGGGUUUCUCUCCCAACCGUCUCUCCCUCUCGACUCGCGACUCUCCAUCCAAAACCCUAGUGAUCCUCCGGCUCACACUCCGACUCCACGAUCGCCAACUUUGUGAAUACUAAUACCCUGUUCAGAUCCUAUCCACAUGGCAUCACGAAUAUACAUGUACUCCGGAUCCUAUCCACAUGGCAUCAUUUCAAAUCAGAACAAAAAAACAACAAUAGCAACAGGCAACACAUGCCAAUCAUAUUAUAUGCUAAUAUCUCACCAACAAUGUAAUAUUUUAUUAUAAAAAUUACACUAAACUACCAAUCCAUCAUCACCCCAAUAUUUUAAUCUCAAAUAAAGAAAACAAUAAUGGAAACAUACAACACAUGAUAAACAUUCUAUAUGCUAGCAUCCCACAAACGAUAUAAUAUUAUAUUAUAAUAUUAAACUAAACUACCAACUCAUCGUAAACUACAAAUAACCAAAUUAGUAAACAACAGCCAUCUCACUUCAUUCAUCAUCUAUGGGCGGGCGAGUUCAUCUAGAUCGGAUCCAUUGCGAUCUCCCUUUCACACAUCAUAUAUCUUUACCUUCCCAUCACCCAUAACACAUUUUCUUGAUUAAAAAUCUAACAUAAACACUCGACAUACCUGAUCCUCCGUUGUCAAUCGAGCCACACACCUUCCACACCACGUUACCGGUGCUCCCCUACAGAUCUUCACCACAAGGCCCAACCUAGAAAUUUUUUGCCCUAGCCGUUCUCCUCUUUCUCUUCCUUUCCUCCUUUUCUUU
Molecule: long non-coding RNA, 9229 nt
Filed under: Zostera marina
Lineage: Eukaryota; Viridiplantae; Streptophyta; Magnoliopsida; Alismatales; Zosteraceae
Description: long non-coding RNA (ZMAR_LNC003843)
Source: RNAcentral